Long non-coding RNA from Balaenoptera ricei (Rice's whale), 511 nucleotides. RefSeq lists it as uncharacterized. The transcript has 3 exons. NCBI's taxonomy places the organism in Eukaryota, Metazoa, Chordata, Mammalia, Artiodactyla, Balaenopteridae. The record is from RefSeq and is a predicted model, not a curated record.
CCACCCGCGAGCACACGCGCAGCGCCCGAGGCGCGGGCCCAGGGGGCCCCCAAGGGCCGCCCGACCGCCGACCCUGGCCCCCUUCCGCUCGGACCCUGGCGGCCCGGUUGGCACCUAUACCCUUCCCCACCUCUCUCCCCUUCCUUUCACUUUCUCACCCUCCUCUCACCCUUUCCCAUGUUUGUUCCUCAGUAAAACCAGGCCUUCGUUACCAGCAUAAAAAACCGUCAGUUUUGAAACACUCUUCAGCUAUUUCAGUCAACACAGACCACUUCCUUCUCUCAACUAUCAGCAUGAACUUCAUGUUUACUCAGGGGACGCGGGUUCGAGCCCUGGUCUGGGAAGAUCCCACCUGCCGCGGAGCAACUAGGCCCGUGAGCCACAACUACUGAGCCUGCGCGUCUGGAGCCUGUGUGCCACAAGAGAGGCCGCGACAGUGAGAGGCCCGUGCACCGUGAUGAAGACUGGCCCCUGCUCGCCGCAACUAGAGAAAGCCCUCGCACAGAAACAA